Andrographis paniculata is the source of this 862-nucleotide long non-coding RNA. RefSeq lists it as uncharacterized. The transcript has 2 exons. Lineage: Eukaryota; Viridiplantae; Streptophyta; Magnoliopsida; Lamiales; Acanthaceae. The record is from RefSeq and is a predicted model, not a curated record.
UCCAUCCAUCCAUCCUUUCUGCAAUAGAGAAAAGAUAUACAAGUAAAACAUGUCUCGGUGGCUAUGGCGAACAACAAGAUUCUCUGGGUUCUUUUACUCUUUUGACAGUGAUGGGGGCGAGCAAAAGCAUUGUGGAAGUGAAGGGGCAGAAGAAGUGCACAGUGGUGCUGAACAACAAGGGAUGCGUUGAGACGCUGUGUGAGGGGCAGUGCUCUAAGCCGUACAAUGGCGGCAAGGGCUCCUGAAAAAGCUGAGGAAGAAAGAAACCUAUCUACUUACAUUGUUUUAGCUGUGAAGGAAAAACGGUUGUUUCAAAUAGUGCAACCAAGAGUUCUGCGGGAAGGGACUACAGAACAGAUCAAAGCAAUUGGCAAGCUUGUUAAACGAUGCCUCAAGUUAAUUGGGGAGAAAGGCGAACCAUGAAAGAAGUGUCGAUGGAGUUGGAAAGCUUGAGAAGUACAAGUUGCAUCACAGGGAACAGUUUGAAAGCUCUGGAGAAAAUAGGGGAAUUACAGGGAAGCAAGGUGAUCUGUAUCCGGUUGUAGUGGUCCCAGGUUUCAACACGGGAGAGUAUUCUUGGCAAUAUUCUCUGGACAGCACCCAAUUCUUGCCAGCAAUCAAUACCCCUAGGUGAGUGGAACCACCUGAGAUUAUUCACAUGUCACAUUAGUUUAUAUAUUUUUUUGUCUUUUGCAUUGUUUUUUUCUUAGUUUGUGCCUCAUAAUGUGUGUGAUGCAUGUAUGAUUAGUUGUUAAUGCUUAUUUAUCAUUGUUGUUUUUCAUCUGGAUACAUUGUACUUCGAGUGUAAAUGUGUUAUCUGUCUUGAGUGAAAAAUAUUAAAAGUUACUAUUGAAUUAAAGAA